This is an RNA transcript of Rhodamnia argentea, 1649 nucleotides long. It is a transcript of the gene named omega-hydroxypalmitate O-feruloyl transferase-like, with no coding region annotated. The transcript is spliced from 3 exons. The record is from RefSeq and is a predicted model, not a curated record. Lineage: Eukaryota; Viridiplantae; Streptophyta; Magnoliopsida; Myrtales; Myrtaceae.
AUCACCAAAGCCUACAAAUAAUUAAGUUUAACUUGUAUUAUUAUGUGCAAAGCAGCAGGAAAUGAGAAGCCAAGAAACAUCGGAGCUACGCGAAAACUCAACGUGAAGAUUGCGAAUGCGGUAAAUGUUUCUCCGGCGAGGGAGACAUUUGGCGGGCUCUACGCUCUCUCGAACCUCGACCAGACCUUCCCUUACGUGAUCGAGAUCGUGUUCGCCUUCGAAGGCGAAGGGAGGGGAAGGCGUAAAUCCGCGGUGGAGACGAUGAGAGAGUCGCUGGCCGAGGUAUUGGUCAAGUUCUAUCCAUUUGCAGGCAGACUCGUCGUGGGGAACGACGGGAGAAUGGCCGUGAAAUGCACUGGAGAAGGCGUCCCGUUCGUCGAAGCGGUGUCGGCCUCUGACAUCGGAGUGCUGGACGAUAUCAGCGCCGUCGAUCCCACCACGCUGCGAAAACUCGUGAAGCACAGCGACGGAGCCCCAACCAUACUGGAAGUACCUUUGCUGACGGUGCAGGUGACGACAUUCAAGUGCGGAGGGAUCGUCGUCGGCGUUGUCAUGAAUCACGUCCUCGUCGACGGUAAAGCCCUCACGGACUUCAUAACUUGCUGGACUGACCUGGCUCGAGCCAAGCCGCCAUCGGUUCUUCCCUUUCUCGAUCGAUCGGUGUUGUGCCCGAGGCGACCGCCACGUGUCGAUCUUCCUCACCACGAGUAUGCUCCGAGAGAUCAGCGGUCCAAACGUGCAGUCAGCCCCCAAACCAAGCCCCUUGUUUACAGAUCAUUCUGCUUCAAUCCACACACUCUCAUUCAGCUCAAGAAAUCGUCAACAAUCGCAACCCAGAACGGCUCUUCCACAGUCCCUACGACCUUCGAAGUCAUAUCGGCGCUCGCGUGGAUUUCGCGAACCAAAGCUCUCGGAAUCAGUCCUCACGAGACGACCAAGCUUCUCACUGCGGUCGACGGUCGGCCCAAGUUCGACCCCCCGCUGCCGAGCGGCUACUUCGGGAACGGCAUUGCCUGGUCCUGUGCCGAGUGCAGCGCGGGUGAAUUGACCCGCAAGCCGUUCUCAUUCGCUGUCCGGACCGUGCAUGAGGGGCUCCAGUCCGUCACCGAGACCUACAUAAGGUCGGCCAUCGACCACGUCGAGCUGAACAGGGUCGGGGUUGAUUGCGAGGGCAACACUUGCUGCAUUAGCAAGUGGAGUCGGCUCCCUUUCUACAAGAUGGAUUUCGGGUUCGGGAGGCCCUUCCAAGUGGCGCCGGCAACCGUCCCCAACAACGUCAUCUUGGUUGCUUCCCAGAGCAGGGAGAGCGACAACUUGGUCGUGUCUCUGGGGCUUCCUCGUGACGCCAUGGAUGUUUUCUCGAAGCUGAUUCAGUAUGAGCUCACGCUGAAAAGCAAAUUUUAGCCUCAUCUAUGGAUAUGAAUGUACGUGUAUGUUUGAAGUCUCGUAUUUCUGCCUCUAGUUUUAAGCUAUUUUUCUUGGUGAAAUAAUGGAUUUGUUAUGUGCCAAGGCCAACUCCUUCGAGACUUUGGCAAAUCCCAUUCUUUAGGCACCAUCUGCAUAUCUUUAGCAUUAGGAAGAGUACUUAUGUGUUGUCCAUUUUUCGUGUUGUGCAUUCUAGGGCCGAGAAUAAUGGACCGAUCAAAUUG